GAGAAAGGUGGGGAAGGGCAGAGGGAGAGGGAGAGAGAGAAUUUUAAGCAGGUUCCAUGCCCAGGGUAAGAGCUCUGCGCAGGCUCUAUCUCAUUACUGUGAGAUCAUGACCUGAGCCAAACUCAAGAGUUGGAUGCUUAACUGACUGAGCCACUCAGGGGUCCCAAGGUUCUGUAUUUUAUUAAAGUUAUGUAUUCUAUGGUUUUCUUUGCUUCUGCCUUUUCUGUCAGGAAGAUCAGUUUAAAGAUCAAUGUAUUCUUUUUUAACAGCUUCAUUGAGGUACAAUUUAACAUAUAAAUCAGCCAUUUAAACUGUACAAUUCAAUGGUUUUUAGUAAAUUUAUAGAGUUGUGCGAUGAUCAUCACAACUCAAUUGUAGAAUAUUUUCAUUCCUCCAGCCCCAGGCAACCACUGAUCUACUUUCUGUCUCUGUAGAUUUGCCUAUUCUGGAAAUUUCAUACAAAUGCAAUCAUACAUUAUUGGCCAUUGUGAUUGGCUUCUUUAAUUAAGCAUAAUGUUUUCAAGUUUCAUCCAUGUUGUAGCAUUUAUCAGUUUUCACUUCUUUUUAUUGUUAAAUAAUAUUCCAUUGUAUGGACAUACCACAUUUUGUUUAUCCAUUUACCAGUUGUUGGGCAUUUGGAUUGUUUUCAGGUUUGGCUAUUAUGAAUGAUGCUGCUAUGAACAUUCAUGAACUAUUAUUUAUUGUGGAUAUAGAUUUUAUUUCCCUUGGGUAGAAAACUAAGAGUAGAAUUGUGAGCCGUUUAUGUUUAUGUUUACUUUUUAAGAAACUGCCCAACUGUUUCCAAAGUAGUGGUACCAUUUUACAUUUCCACCAACAAUGUAUGAGCAUUCUAGUUUUUCCAUGUCCUCACCAACUUUUGCUAUUGUCUGCCUUUUGGAUUAUAGUCUUUUUAGUGGAUGUGAGGUGAUAUGUCAUUGCAACUUUAAUUUUGAUUUCCCUAGUACCAAAUGAUAAGUAUCUUUUCAUGUGUUUGUUGCCUAUUUGUAUACCUUUUUUAGUGAAAUGUAUAUUCAGAAUUUUUCCCAUUUUUUUAAUUGGGUUGUUUGUUUUCUUAUCGUUGAAUUGUAAGCAUUCUUUAUAUAUUCUGGCUAUAAGUCUCUUAUCAGAUAUAUAAUUUGCAAAUAUUGUCUCCCAGUUUGUGCCUUGUCCUUUUAUUUUCUUUUUAAAAAAUUUUUUUAAUGUUUAUUUUUGAGAGAGAGAGAGAGAGAGAGACAGAGAGAGAGAGAGAGAGAGAGACAGAGAGACAGAGAGACAGAGAGAGCGUGAGCCGGGGAGGGGCAGAGAGAGGGGAAACAUAGAAUCCAAAGCAGGCUCCAGGGUCCCAGCUGUCAGCACAGAACCCGAUGCAUGCCUUGAACUCACAGACGACGAGAUCAUGACCUGAGUGGAAGUCGGACGCUUAACAGACUGAGCCACUCAGGUGCCCCUUAUAUUUCAUUUUCUUAAUGAUGUCUUUUUUUUUUUUUUAUAGUGAAUGGUGUCUUUUGAAGUGCAAAGCUUUUAAGGUUUUAUGAAGUCCAAUUUAUCAAUAUUUUCUUUUAUGGAUAGUGCUUUUGAUAUCAUACUAAGAAAUCUUUGUUUUCCUUAACCCAGGUCAUAAAGAUUCUAUCCUAUGUUUUCUUCUACAAGUUGUAUAGUUUUAAUUCUUUACUAUUUUGAAGGAGAGAUAGAGAGAGUGUGAGCAGGGGAGGGGCAGAGAUGGGGCAGAGAUAGAGAGGGAGAUACAGAAUCUGAAGCAGGCUCCACACUCUGAGCUGUCAGCACAAAGCCUGGCCCCAGGCUCGAACUCCUGGGCUGCAAGAUCAUGACCUGAGCUGAAGUCAGACACUUAACAGACUGAGCCACCCAAGCACCCCUUAAUGCUUACAUUUGGUAAGGGAUUUUUGGUCUAUGAUUCAUGUGGAGUUAAUUUUUGUGUAUGGUGUAAAGUAAGCGUCUAAAUCCUUUUCCUUAUGGGUAUCUAGUUGUCUCAGCAGCAUAUGUUGAAAAGAUGGCUCGUGUAAUUGUUGACUCUGCUUUUACUACAUUUGUGUCUUUAAAGAAAAGCUGAAGUAAGUAGGGCAUAGAGAAUUAAUGUAUUAAUGAAGAUGAAGAGAUUCUUCUGUGUUGAGGUUUUAAGCACUUACAUUAGAUAAGGAACAUCUGGUUGAUGUUUUAAAGAAUAACUCGAACCAUAAUUUCAUUUCGUUUCCUUCGUCUCCCCCAUUCCCUCCCCAGCUCUCCACUGAACAUCUGCUUCUCUUAUGUGAGGGGAAGUGAAAGAUUUAGGUCAGGCAUAAACACAAACUAUCUUUACUGUAUUGUUCCCUUUUAAGACCAAAAUACCCACCCUGCCGGGCCAGUUUAGCACUACAUUACCCUAUAUCAACAGAUCUACUGCAAUUUUUGGAAGCUGGCUUUCCCCAGGAAACAGAACUGCUAUUGCUACUUCUCGGUGUUAUGUAAUAAAUCUAGCGGGUCACUUUCAAGGAUGUGAACAGGAAUCGAGAAACACUGUCCUUCAAAUAUCACUUUUCUUUAUGUUAGCUUUAUUGAUGAAUUUCUCACAAGAAAUAUCUUAAGAGACAUCACUAGUGUUGUGAGCCCUCCGCAUCCAGAUCUCACAUGUAUCUAUAGUGCUGGCUAGAGGUAACCCCAAAUAAAAACAGGUUCCGUUGACUUCUGGCUUCACUGAUGCAAGGUAGCAAGACCUUGGGGAAGUCUAUCUCCCCAAAAUACCAUCCAUUUUGCUAUCUUAAAUCUUUGCAAAGAACAGGAUGAUUACAUUUUCCUCUCUGGGAAUUUACUGAGUUCUUCUGUUUUAUGGCACUGACCUAGCAGCUCUAAUUGGGGCACUCUUCUACCCGUGGCUUUGCUAAAAAUCCCUCACAAUCAGGACUGCAGUGUAAUAAUAAUAAUAAUAAUAAUGAUAAUAAUAAUAAUAUAAUGCAAUAGCUCAUAUGUAUAUAGCACUUAUUAUGCACCAGACAUUCUUUUCUUGCCUUACAUAUAUUAACUCAUUUAAUUGUUCCCUGGAGGCAUACAUUAAAGCUGGCAUUGCUGGAGGGUAUGAGUAUAGAAGCAAUUUAGUUAGUGUUUGGAGUAUGAUAAACUUCCAUAAAAUAGAAGGAAAGCCUUGAGAUGAUGCUUCAGGGAUAAAAUUGAACAGCCUGGUCCUUUUUGGGGUCUCAUAAUUUUUUCAGCUGUAGAACUCAUUUGAGGGAAAAGUAACAGGUAGGAAACAUUGGUUUUCAUCACCUCGCUUUGGUUAGACAUAUGCUUUGGAUAUUCUUCCUCAAGCACCUUCAGAAUCCCCAUCCACUUCCAUGUCUAAGCACUCACUUCAGUAGCCUGGCUCUGGGCCACUCUAGGGCUAUCCAGCACUUCUCAUCGUCAGGCUGGGUCCCUGUUGGUGCUUUCCUGUCCUGUGUUUCAUUGUGGCAGCCGUUUGCUGGGAAGGGGCAGUUUUGCCAACAAGGAGGAGGUCUUUUAAAAUUCUAGCUCACUGUUGAUCAGAACCAGGAAUUUCCCUUAGUUUAAGAUUUAGUUAGCAGACAGGGGCUCCUGGGUGGCUCUGUUGGCUGAGUGUUCGACUCUUGAUCUCAGCUCAGGUCUUAAUCUCACAAUUUAGUUAGUACACAAACAUUCUGGCUUUCUCUAAGCUUUUAGCCAGUUUUUUACAUUUUAGUAGAAGAUUCAGGAACACGUUUCUUGGGAGGAAAGAAAAGAAGAGGAGAGAUUCUGGGGGCACAGUGUGUCUGAAACAGCAAGGGGGAACAAAGAAGGGAAGAAAAGUUGGAGAGCCUCUGUGUACCUCAAAAUUUUGCUGAGGGCCUUGCCCUGACAGCAGGGUGCAGAUAGGUCCUUCAUUGCUGUCCCCCAAAUCUCACCAGCACUAUAACAGUGGCCUUCUAUGAGUUGUGCACUCACCUUUGUCAUCUGACACAGGGGAAUGACUCAAAUGGUUGGAACGUCCAGACAGGUAAGAAAGGAGACAGGUUAUUACAGAUGGGGGUGGGGAACUUGUUUUGGACAGGUAGUUCCUGGUGGCAUCAGGGAAAACAUGCCUUAGGUGGCUCUCUGUGACUGAUACAUUGACUGAUCCUGCUAAGUCAGGAACAUGACCAAGAUGGCCUUAUUUUCCUCAGCUUGACUAAACUUUAGACAGGUUUCUUAGCGACAGUAGGUCACUGACCUCCCUUGUCUUAGAGCAUUUACUUUAGAAAACUUACAAUUGUAAAUUCUUUAUUUGCCCAUCUGAGAUGUAAAUCUUUUCCUAGCCGCUUGCCCCUUUUACAACUGAGAACCAUCUGUUUCAGGGACCUGGGAGACAUCUUUUGAAAUGUUAUCAUCAAGAAAGGUAGCAUCCGGGUCUCCCAGUUUCUGUAGGAGGGUAGGAACCUAGACUGGUGUCAGCAAACACAGAUGGCCUAGUCACAUUGACCAAACUAAUGUCCUCCAGUACUUUUCAACUAGCUAACCUCAACCCUUAGAAACCUUCCUGCUUUUUUUGUUUCUAGGGAAGUUAAGUUCUCUCUCCCCUUGAAGAAGACUUGAAUUAUGUCUUCUUCUUUUUCAGCCAAACUCUGUUCUGUGAAAUUUUUCUUUGACAUACAGACACUUGCACAAUAUUUUAUCUAAACUGACUCUCAGUGUGUUUGGAAAGCCAUUAAACAAGAAGACAGGAUAACUUUAUCAUGGUGCACUGUUUUCUGAACUCAUUAUUGGGGGUCUGACACCUACAGCAUUUCAUAUGCUAUUAAUCACCUCCUCCAAUAAACCCAAAACCCAAACCAGAAUGCUUCUCAUAUUUCUUUGCCAUAAGAUACCUUAUAUAUACACACGUAUGAAAAGUAUAUAUGCACAAUGUUAUAUAGACAGACACACACAAUUAGUAAUAGCUAUCAUUUUUUUGUAGGUCUACUGUGUACUUUGUAUACAUACACAUAGUACUUCAUACAUAUUUCCUCAUUUGAUCCUUACAGCAUUUCUAUGAAUCAGGUAUCAUUUAUCUCAAGAUGAGGAAGCCAAGGCUGAGAGAGUGAAGCGACUACUUCCAAUUGCUGUCAGAAGUGGGAUCUGAACCCAGUCAAUCAGUCUACAAAUCAUGAUAUCAGGUUUCCAAUUGUCUUUCAAAGAUGCAUUGAGCUACCUUGUUAGGAUUCUGGUCCAGAGGGAAACCUGUAUUUCCAGAAGGAAUUAAGGAAGAACUUCUGUCAAACUGUCCCUUCAUCCCUCCUCCCAGAAGCAUUAUAGAAGAUUUUACUAUUCUUUAGAGAACUUCAUCUCAAAGUGUGUCCCAACUCUCACCUGUCACCUGUAAUUUCUGCUUUGGGGUCUAGCCCCAAAUCUUGAGGAAGACAUUUUUUUUUUUUUCAGUUAAUUCAUUUUUGAGAGAGAGACAGAGUGUGAGCAGGGGAGGGGCAGAGAGAGAGGAAGACACGGAAUCGGAAGCAGGAUCCAGGCUCUGAGCUGUCAGCCCAGAGCCCCACAUGGGGCUCAAACCCAAGAACCAUGAGAUCAUGCUCUGAGCCCAAGUCAUCUGCUUAACUGACUGAGGCACCCAUAUGCCUCUUGAGGCAGCCAUUCUGAUCUUCAUUUCAGGGUUGCUCUGACAAGGAUAGUUGGGGAUCUGCCCUGGUGCUUCCAGCACAUAGGAUAUAUUCCUUCAGUGGACAGAGAAGAUGGUAGCAACUUCCUCUUUGAGUCAUGCAUAUUGUCUGUCAUUCUGUCAACCAUCUGUCCUAUUAGCCAUGCUUGGGUGAUGAAUAGAACUCUAUGUACUGUGCGGUUACUAGGUUACAGCUUGUGACAUCAGAAUGCACAAUGAACAGAGCAGUAGAAAGUAGACAGCAAUGGUUUCUACUUAUUUCAAAAUAUCCAUGAUGCCAGAGAAAUACAUCCCUGUUAAAAAAACCUAGGUCUUUGUAGCUCCCUUUCCUUCUUUGACAUGGAAUGAAAGAGAUCUUUCCAGAACUGAUCAACGUCAGUAACUUUUAUAUCAGAGUCUGUGCUUAAAAGUAUCGCAAACAAAACUUCAGAACAAUCACACUACCUAGAAAAAGUAUUUCUAGGACUCUGAGAUAGUCCUUGACCUGAGGAAGGUGGCAAGUCUUGUGUUUACUAUGGGGCCUACUCCCUCUCCUAUGGAACACAGGUUUUAUUCUGUGAAAGCUAUGGGAAGCUCACCGUAGGUUGUGUACCUGAGCCACUUAGAUUCAAGGCAGCAGUGGUGAGGUCACUAAAGUGACCUUCUCCUUUCUCCCAGAUGGAGGGGCUCCUUCUCAUGAGGCCUCUAACACAUACAGCUCUACAUAUACAUAAAAACUUCACUUCCAUUUAUUACUGGAUAGAUUUUUUUCAGUGUUGAUGAGAUGUUUUGUAGAAAUCAACAUAUACUGUCCAGAUAAGGAAAGUUUAAAUGAUUUAAAAUAAUAAUGUUUCCUAAUUAUAAGCACUUGUGGGAAAUUUGGAAAGUACAGAAAAGAAAAAAAAAAUUACAAUUGCAUCAACCCAGAAGCAACCAUCACUAACAGGUUUUUUUGUUUUCCUUUUGGUCUUUAAUUUUGUAGCUCUGUUUUUUUUUUUUUUUCUUUUUCUUUUUCUUUAUUAUUAUUUAUUUUUGAGAGAGAGAGAGAGAGACAGACAGACAGAGACUGUGUGUGUUUGGGGGGCGGGGGGAGAGGGAGACACAGAAUCCGAAGCAGGCUCCAGGAUCCCAGCUGUCAGCACAGAGCCCCAUGUGAGGCUCAAACUCAACCAAUCGCGAGACCAUGACCUGAACCGCGAGAUCAUGAUCUGAGCCGAAGUCUGCGGCGCUUAACAGACUGAGCCACGCAGGCGCCCAUCGGUUUGUUGUUUUCAAGUGAAGACGCUCCUGCCCAAAAGGAACUUACAACUUUAAGGGCAACACAAAUGAGAAAAAUGAAGACAAAAUAAGACUGAAAACCAGAGAACAUGAUGAUAAUGAUGAUGGGCUCAUUGAUUUCUCCAAAGUGUCUCUGAGACACAUACUGCCUGGAAUCAGUCACUUCCUGCCUUGUCUGCCACCCAUUGUGUAGCCACAAGUAAGUUACUUUGCCUCUCUACUGUUGUUUUCUCUUUUGUGAAAAAGGGAAAAUAGGUUGUUGUAUUAAAUGAGAAAAUCCACCUAACAUAUUUAAUACAGCCCCUGGUGCAUAAUAAGCACUCAAGAAAUGUUGGGCAUCAUUAGAAAUGGUGUAAGUCAGUAGCUAAGAGAGCAAGCCCUGGUCAGACUGCCUUGCCAUUCUUGUGGUUUUUCUACUUGCUUAUAGGAUCAAAUCAUCAACAAUGACCUCUAUUUAAUUAUAGUUUUUGUUUUUGAAUUGCUUUAUGAUAAUCAUGAAUUUAUCAAAGUAGACAUUCACAAAGUGCUUCUGGCAAGUCCAGAGUUUUCUAAUGAGGACUGUUGCAUCAUAAAAGGCUCAUAGAGAGAAGUAUUUACUAUUAAUGAAGCCAUGUGCAUUUUCACCAUUCAGAUGGCAAAACCAAAAAAACAAUUCUUUCCCUUAGAAAGUGGAAUGUUGGAUAUGUUUGGGGCCCAUUACAACUUGACCUUUCAGCGCUCAGAGCUGUCCUAUGGUGGGUAGGUGGAGAAAAGAAUCAGAGAGAAUCUGAAUAUAUGUUAUACUCUUUGACAUUUAGGGAAAAGUCAAGAACAUUUCACCCAGUAUGUAGUGUUUGGCAUGGGAUUAGGAUAAUUUGUAAACAUAUACAUUUUAAAAUCUAAUAUUUAUUGUUUUUAUAUUACAUAAUUAUGUUUAUUUUUGAAACUUUAGAAAGCAGGAAUAAGAGAAAGUACAAAUCUUAACAUUUUAAUGCACUUCCUUCCAAGCUUUUUAAUAUAGUUAUAUCUGAAUAUAUAUUUAUAGUUUUAAUAUGGAUCUUUUAGUUUCUAAAUUCCUAAAGAACCAGUAAGUCAACUUACUUGGGUUUGCUGGACAUUGGUGUUUUUCAGAAGACCUCGUUAUGAACGUUGGAAGAGCCUAGUGGUUGAAAAUUACAGCUGGUUCCUUUUGAGUUCUUGUGGGAUAGGAUCCUGCUACUCAAGGUCUGGGAACCAGUAGUAUCAGCAUCACCUGGGAGCAUAUUAAAAAUCAACAAUUGUUGGUCCCACUUCAGAUCUAGUAAAUCCCACAUGCAUUUUUAAAAUUCUUAUUUAUUUAUUUAUUUGUUGAGCAUGCACAAGCAGGAGAGGGGCAGAGGGAGAGAGAGAAUCCCAAGCAGGCUCCGCACUGUCAGCACAGAGCCCUAUGUGAGAUCAUGAUCUGGGAGGAAAUCAAGAGCCACCUGAGCCACCCAGGUGUCUCUCCACUCCCCCCCUCCCGCAACUGCAUUUUAAUAUGAUUUCUGGGUGAUUUGUAUGCACAUUAAAUUUCGAGUAACACUACUGUAGGAGAAACUAGACAAAGUAUUGUUUCUCUUAUAAGACAGUUGUUGAAGGGCUGAUUAGUCCCUAGUCCCAGAACAACAUCCUUUCCUGCCAAGCAAUCCAUUGCUUCCUGGGGUCUCACUUCCACACAGGCAUUGUUGGGACAAGUCUGGUUAGAGAUCCACCAAACGGCCUGCAGGAAAAAGUUUUGCUAGGCACCCCCAGCCAGGAGAUGAAAGACACAAAAUAAAUCUGGGACAUGCCAACAGGCCAAUAAAACUCCAUAAAUCUAAAGUCUGUGUUGUUUAGCAUCUUAUUACUUUAUCACAGCACUUUUCCUGGGCUCACUGUCGAAUGACCAGGAAAUGGGUUUCGACCACUUGAAAAACCCAGCAGUAAAGUUUAUCAAUAGCAUCUUCGUCGGCAGGGGUCUAUUGACUUGGAGAACUGAGGCUGACCUAAAGAACAAACCGAAAAGAAACACUCCAAAACAACAUAUCUGGAAGUAGAGCAGCUUUCUAGACGGGAGCAAACAUGUACUUUUUCACACCCUCAUAUCCUUCAUUUUCUGGAAUAGGAAUGUGUCUAUCUACAGAGCAGGGUUGUGGCCAUUUCCUGGUGAGCAUGACUAAUAAUAAUAGCCUACAUUUGACAGCAUUUUAUGAUUCACAAAAUACUAUAGCAGUGCUUCCCAAAUUUAAUGUGCAUGUAAAUCACCUGCAGAUCUUGUUAAAAUGAGGAUAUAAUUGAGUAGUUCUGAGUGGGGCCCGACUUGUCUUUCUAAUAAAUGCACAGGUGGUGCUCAUACUGCUGGUCCACAAACCUUAUAUUGAGAAGCAGGUUGUUACCAUGAUUUCCUCUUGAGAUUCCCAGAAAUUCUGUGAGGUAGGCGGAGCCGGGAUUUUUUCCCCUUUCCCCAUGAGAAUAUUGGUCCUAUGAGGGUAAGGAUCUGCUGACUGCUAUAUCCCAAGUAACUAUAAUAGCAGGCACUCAAUAAAUUUUUGUUGGAUGAACAAAUGAUUGCAUCUUAAUCUUAUAGAGGAAUUUGAGUAAUGCUUUAACCAAAGUCACAGUCUGAUAAUUCAAAGCUGGCAUUUGAACCUAAGAAACCACUUAAAUCUAAGUUCGGUACCAGAUGAAUCUACUUGGAUGGUUUGACUUCCUUCCUUCCUUCCUUCCUUCCUUCCCUCCCCUCUUUCUUCUUUUUCCUCUUCCUCUUCCUCCUCCUUCUUUGGUAAAGGUAAAUUUUUUUGAAGAGACCUUUUAAAUUGAAGUAUAAUAUAGGAAAAUGGCCCAAACAUCAGCAUAGACUUGACUAUCUUUUACUGUGGGAACAUACACCUAGAGCCACCUCUCAGAUCAUAGAAUUAUCAGCUCCCCGGACACCUGUCUUGUGCCCACUCCCAGUGAUUAUUCUCUCCUUCAGACAUUGGUGCUGUUAUGACUUUUAUCAUCAUAAAAUAGUUUUGAACUUGAUAGAAGUAGAAUUUUAUAAUAUAUACUCUUCAGUGUACACCUUCAGUGUUAAUUUUGUGUUCCUGAAUAUAGCAGUAAUUUGCUCAUUUUCACUUUAUAGUAUUUCAUUGUGUAUACUGUGCAUAUUCCAUGAACAUACCACAAUUUAUCGUAUGUCUCACUGUUGAUGAGCUUUAGAGUUGAUUCCAGUUUUUGGCUAAUAUGAAUAGUGCUGCCUUGGACAUCUUGUACCUGACUUUUGGUGAGCAUAAGUACUUACUUCUUUUGGAUAUGUACUAGACAUGGAGUAUUUAUCAUUUGGGGUAUAUUCAGUUCCUAUAGAUAUUGCUAGCCAAACAUCUUCCAAAGUGGUUGUAUUAAUUCUUUUGUCUUUGGUUGUAAUGUUGAUUACAUUCCCUGGGUAAUCAUUAAAAUUUUAUUUUUCCUUUUUUUUUUUUUUUAAAUUUUUUUUUCAACGUUUUUUAUUUAUUUUUGGGACAGAGAGAGACAGAGCAUGAACGGGGGAGGGGGAGAGAGAGAGGGAGACACAGAAUCGGAAACAGGCUCCAGGCUCCGAGCCAUCAGCCCAGAGCCUGACGCGGGGCUCGAACUCACAGACCGCGAGAUCGUGACCUGGCUGAAGUCGGACGCUUAACCGACUGCGCCACCCAGGUGCCCCUUAUUUUCCCUUUUGCUGCAUGAAGAGUUAUGAUGAGUUUUAUAACUAUGACUUUUGGAUCAGGAUGGUGGAUUGAACACAGAUAUUUAUUUUUCUUCCUUCAAAAACCUCAUAAAAUGACAAUAAAUAGAUUUUUUUGGAGAAAGGUAUAAAUCUAAAGGGAUAUAAAAAAAGAGAGGGGAAAUAAUAUCAACACAAUUUGAGAUACUUAAGAAAGCUGAAUCCUAUGCCAGGCAGAAGCUGAAAAGUAAACUGAUUUACAGUCCAGACUCCCUAAAAGCUUGAGGAAUUGGCACACAAGUACUUCUGGAAGAAGGGAGGUAGUGCUAAAAAGGAUAGUACUGAUUUAAAGUCUACUUAAAAAGCAGUUAGAUUCCCCUCCCCCAAUCCAUAGACUCAGAAUUGUUUUCUACCCCUAACCACCUGGAGGAAGUCUGAGAAAAUUAUCACUGGAGAGUGUAAAACAGAGGGUCCCUGCACUAGGAUUUGUCAGACACAAUUGUGGGUGGAAGUUUGAUGUUGAAAACAUAGGGAUUAAAUAUAUCCUUAAUACUGGGAAAAUAUCUUCUAGAUAGGAGACUGGAAGAUCCUUCUCUAGGAACUCUACUAGUCCAAGAAGAAAGAAGUAAUGAUACUGAUAUUUGGGAAGGAAGAUCUCCAAGGAAAUGGUCCAGCUAGAUCAAUAGGUACAGUGAAGCCCAUGGUAGUCAAACACCAACCACAGGCUCAGAACUUCCUAUCGGCUCUUUUAGGAUCCAACUCAAUAUGUGUAGGCAAGCAAGGUCACCAGCUAGCUGAGAUUAAGAUUUCAGCAUAAAACAUAGAGAUCGAAACUAACACAGAAAAAAACUAACAGAAAAAAAGUAACCUGGAAGAAAAGAAGAUUUGUUAGGGGAAAGACUAUUUUUUUUUUUAAAUUUAUUAUUUACUUUUAAAAUGUUUAUUCAUUUGGAGAGAAAGAGAGAGAGAGUGAGAGAGAGAAAGAAAGAAAGAGAGCAUGACCAGGGGAGGGGCAGAGAGAGGGGGAGAGAAUUUCCAAAGUGUGCUCUGAGACAACAGCAGCUAACCUGAUGUGGGGCUCCAACUCACAAACUGCGAGAUCAUGACCUGAGCUAAAGUUGGAUGCUCAACAGACUGAGCCACCCAGGUGCCUCAAGACUUUUUUUUUUUUUAAGUUUAUUUAUUUAUUUGAGAGAGAGAGAGAGAGAGAGAGAGCACGAGCAGGGGAGGGGCAGUGAGGGAGAGAGAGAAUACCAAGCAGGCUUCAUGCUGUAAGCACAGAGCCUGACACAGGGCUUGAUCUCACAAACUGUGUGCCCAUGACCUGAGCCAAAAUUAAGAGUUGAGUGCUUAACCAACUGAGCUAUCCAUGUGCCCCAGGGGAAAUACAAUUUAAAAAAAAAUCAUCAUUAAUAUUCUCAGAGAGACAUAAAAUGUUAUUGCAUUCAUGAAAUAAGAACAGGUUGCUUUUAAAAAAAGGACAAUUGGGAACACUUAGAAAUUAAGAAUAUGAUAACAGAAAUGAAAAGAGGGAAGAUAAACAACACAGUGGGAAGAUAAAAUUGAGAUAUCUACAAGUUGAGCUAAAAGGAAAAGAGGUGGAAAAGAGAAGAGAAAAUAUAAUAAAAUUAGAGGACCAGAACAUGGGAUCCAAUACCUUUAUAGUAGGAGUUCCAAAAGGAGACAAAAAAAGAGGGAAAAUAGAAAGGAGGAAUUCAUUACCUAAAUAAAGAAACUUUUCUAGAACUUAAGUUUAGAGUUUCUAGGUUGAAAGGAUCCAUAGAUUGCCCAACAGAACGGAUUAAAAAUAGACUCAUUCUAGAGUACAUUAUUGUAUUAACUUCACAAUACUGGUGAAAUCAGGAAGUUCUACAAACUUCCGUAAAUUAAAACAAAACAAAACAAGUUGCAUACAAAAUACGUAUAUAUAAAAAAAAUCAAUACACCUAUGCGUUUUUCAGCAACAACAACAACAACAGAGGCUAGAAUAUAAUGGAACAGUACUUUCAAAUUUUUGAGGAAAAAUGAUUCCUAACCUAGAAUUCUACACUCAGAUUCAUAAGUAAAUAUGAGAAUAAAAUUUAAAAAAUUCAGAUACUCAAGGUCUGAAAAAAAUUUUAUCUCCCAUGAGCUCUUUCACAUAGAUUUCCUACUGAAUAUGAUCCAUUAAAAUGAGGGAGUAAACUAAGAAGGAGAAAGGAACAGGAGAUAAAGAACCGGGGAUUUAAUAAAAGAGAGUGUAAAUUCUUU
Panthera uncia (snow leopard) is the source of this 12776-nucleotide long non-coding RNA. RefSeq lists it as uncharacterized. The record is from RefSeq and is a predicted model, not a curated record. The transcript is spliced from 2 exons. NCBI's taxonomy places the organism in Eukaryota, Metazoa, Chordata, Mammalia, Carnivora, Felidae.